AGUGGCGGACGGGUGAGUAACGCGUGGGAACAUACCCAAAGGUACGGAAUAGCCUCGGGAAACUGAGAGUAAUACCGUAUGUGCCCUUCGGGGGAAAGAUUUAUCGCCUUUGGAUUGGCCCGCGUUGGAUUAGGUAGUUGGUGGGGUAAUGGCCUACCAAGCCGACGAUCCAUAGCUGGUUUGAGAGGAUGAUCAGCCACACUGGGACUGAGACACGGCCCAGACUCCUACGGGAGGCAGCAGUGGGGAAUCUUAGACAAUGGGGGAAACCCUGAUCUAGCCAUGCCGCGUGAUCGAUGAAGGCCUUAGGGUUGUAAAGAUCUUUCAGAUGGGAAGAUAAUGACGGUACCAUCAGAAGAAGCCCCGGCUAACUCCGUGCCAGCAGCCGCGGUGAUACGUAGGGUCCGAGCGUUGUUCGGAAUUAUUGGGCGUAAAGGGCUCGUAGGCGGUCUGUCGCGUCGGGAGUGAAAACUCAGGGCUUAACCCUGAGCCUGCUUCCGAUACGGGCAGACUAGAGGUAUGCAGGGGAGAACGGAAUUCCUGGUGUAGCGGUGGAAUGCGCAGAUAUCAGGAGGAACACCGAUGGCGAAGGCAGGUCUCUGGGCAUUAACUGACGCUGAGGAGCGAAAGCAUGGGGAGCGAACAGGAUUAGAUACCCUGGUAGUCCAUGCCGUAAACGUUGGGCACUAGGUGUGGGGGACAUUCCACGUUUUCCGCGCCGUAGCUAACGCAUUAAGUGCCCCGCCUGGGGAGUACGGCCGCAAGGCUAAAACUCAAAUGAA
RNAcentral lists this ribosomal RNA (782 nucleotides) under uncultured bacterium. RNAcentral describes it as "bacterial SSU rRNA". It matches the Rfam family "Bacterial small subunit ribosomal RNA", at positions 94 to 909 of the family's 1533-position model. The record is from RNAcentral.